UAACACGUGGGUAACCUGCCUUAUAGUGGGGGAUAGCCUUUUGAAAGGAAGAUUAAUACCGCAUAAGAUUGUAGUAUCGCAUGAUAUAGCAAUUAAAGGAGCAAUUCGCUAUAAGAUGGACCCGCGUCGCAUUAGCUAGUUGGUGAGGUAAUGGCUCACCAAGGCGACGAUGCGUAGCCGACCUGAGAGGGUGAUCGGCCACAUUGGGACUGAGACACGGCCCAGACUCCUACGGGAGGCAGCAUG
Molecule: ribosomal RNA, 246 nt
Filed under: uncultured bacterium
Lineage: Bacteria
Description: partial 16S ribosomal RNA
Rfam family: Bacterial small subunit ribosomal RNA
Source: RNAcentral